RNAcentral lists this ribosomal RNA (497 nucleotides) under uncultured bacterium. RNAcentral describes it as "partial 16S ribosomal RNA". It matches the Rfam family "Bacterial small subunit ribosomal RNA", at positions 28 to 507 of the family's 1533-position model. The record is from RNAcentral.
GAUGAACGCUGGCGGCGUGCCUAAUACAUGCAAGUCGAGUGAACGGACGAGAAGCUUGCUUCUCUGAUGUUAGCGGCGGACGGGUGAGUAACACGUGGAUAACCUACCUAUAAGACUGGGAUAACUUCGGGAAACCGUAGCUAAUACCGGAUAAUAUUUUGAACCGCAUGGUUCAAAAGUGAAAGACGGUCUUGCUGUCACUUAUAGAUGGAUCCGCGCUGCAUUAGCUAGUUGGUAAGGUAACGGCUUACCAAGGCAACGAUGCAUAGCCGACCUGAGAGGGUGAUCGGCCACACUGGAACUGAGACACGGUCCAGACUCCUACGGGAGGCAGCAGUAGGGAAUCUUCCGCAAUGGGCGAAAGCCUGACGGAGCAACGCCGCGUGAGUGAUGAAGGUCUUCGGAUCGUAAAACUCUGUUAUUAGGGAAGAACAUAUGUGUAAGUAACUGUGCACAUCUUGACGGUACCUAAUCAGAAAGCCACGGCCAACUACGUG